RNAcentral lists this ribosomal RNA (425 nucleotides) under uncultured bacterium. RNAcentral's name for it is "partial 16S ribosomal RNA". It matches the Rfam family "Bacterial small subunit ribosomal RNA", at positions 354 to 796 of the family's 1533-position model. The record is from RNAcentral.
GUGGGGAAUCUUAGACAAUGGGGGAAACCCUGAUCUAGCCAUGCCGCGUGAUCGAUGAAGGCCUUAGGGUUGUAAAGAUCUUUCAGCUGGGAAGAUAAUGACGGUACCAGCAGAAGAAGCCCCGGCUAACUCCGUGCCAGCAGCCGCGGUAAUACGGAGGGGGCUAGCGUUGUUCGGAAUUACUGGGCGUAAAGCGCACGUAGGCGGAUUGGAAAGUUGGGGGUGAAAUCCCGGGGCUCAACCCCGGAACUGCCUUCAAAACUCCCAGUCUUGAGGUCGAGAGAGGUGAGUGGAAUUCCGAGUGUAGAGGUGAAAUUCGUAGAUAUUCGGAGGAACACCAGUGGCGAAGGCGGCUCACUGGCUCGAUACUGACGCUGAGGUGCGAAAGCGUGGGGAGCAAACAGGAUUAGAAACCCGUGUAGUCC